Molecule: small nuclear RNA, 103 nt
Organism: Hippopotamus amphibius kiboko
Lineage: Eukaryota; Metazoa; Chordata; Mammalia; Artiodactyla; Hippopotamidae
Source: RefSeq, a predicted model, not a curated record
GACUUCAUCAAAAUUUUAAAAUUUGUUUGGAACAAUACAGAGAAGAUUAGCAUGGCCCCUGUGCAAGUAUGAUAUGCAAAUUCGUGAAGCGGUCCAUAUUUUA